Molecule: unclassified non-coding RNA, 203 nt
Filed under: Hevea brasiliensis (rubber tree)
Lineage: Eukaryota; Viridiplantae; Streptophyta; Magnoliopsida; Malpighiales; Euphorbiaceae
Source: RNAcentral
UGUGGAAACUUUACUCUGCUUCUGAAGGAUAAAGUUUCCACACAUACUUCAUAUCCAUAUCCAAUUACAUUUAUGCCUGCCUAUUUAAAUAAGACAGCAAUUGGGCUUCCAACACUAUAUCCAUCAGCCACCCAUUUCAGGUAUCCCUGAGCAAAAGAUCUUCUAGCAUUCCCACUUCUGGUAAAUGUUACAGAGUAUGUAGC